GUGGUUAAUUCGAUGCAACGCGAAGAACCUUACCUGGUCUUGACAUCCCGGAGACCCUUAGGAAACUAGGGGUGCUUCCAUCUGGAAGGAAUCUGGAGACAGGUGCUGCAUGGCUGUCGUCAGCUCGUGUCGUGAGAUGUUGGGUUAAGUCCCGCAACGAGCGCAACCCUUGCCUUUAGUUGCCAGCAGUUCGGCUGGGCACUCUAAAGGGACUGCCGGGUGUUAAACCGGAGGAAGGUGGGGAUGACGUCAAGUCCUCAUGGCCUUUAUGACCAGGGCUACACACGUACUACAAUGGCCGAUACAAAGGGCAGCGACACUGCGAGGUGAAAGCCAAUCCCGUAAAAUCGGUCUCAGUCCGGAUUGGAGUCUGCAACUCGACUCCAUGAAGUUGGAAUCGCUAGUAAUCGUGGAUCAGCAUGCCACGGUGAAUACGGUUCCCGGGCCUU
Molecule: ribosomal RNA, 449 nt
Filed under: uncultured Desulfobulbus sp.
Lineage: Bacteria; Pseudomonadati; Thermodesulfobacteriota; Desulfobulbia; Desulfobulbales; Desulfobulbaceae
Description: bacterial SSU rRNA
Rfam family: Bacterial small subunit ribosomal RNA
Source: RNAcentral